RNAcentral lists this ribosomal RNA (253 nucleotides) under uncultured bacterium. Its description in RNAcentral is "partial 16S ribosomal RNA". It matches the Rfam family "Bacterial small subunit ribosomal RNA", at positions 524 to 776 of the family's 1533-position model. The record is from RNAcentral.
UACGUAGGGUGCAAGCGUUGUCCGGAAUUAUUGGGCGUAAAGAGCUCGUAGGCGGUUCGUCACGUCGGCUGUGAAAUCCCGAGGCUCAACCUCGGGUCUGCAGUCGAUACGGGCGGACUUGAGUACUGCAGGGGAGACUGGAAUUCCUGGUGUAGCGGUGAAAUGCGCAGAUAUCAGGAGGAACACCAAUGGCGAAGGCAGAUCUCUGGGCCGUAACUGACGCUGAGGAGCGAAAGCAUGGGGAGCGAACAGG